Molecule: non-coding RNA, 73 nt
Organism: Aedes aegypti (yellow fever mosquito)
Lineage: Eukaryota; Metazoa; Arthropoda; Insecta; Diptera; Culicidae
Source: Rfam
GGCUCGGUAGCUUAGUUGGUAAAGCGCUCGUCUAGCAUACAAGAGUCCUGGGUUCAAAUUCCCAGCCGAGCGC